AUGUCAAUGAUGAGUGAACUCAAAUUCUUUGUUGGGUUGCAAAUCAAGCAAACUAAGGAAGGUACUUUUGUCUCUCAAACGAAGUACACUAAGGACUUAUUCAAGAAGUUUAAUAUGCAAGAAUGCAAAGGUAUGUCUACACCCAUGCCUACUGGUGGACAUCUUGAUUUGACCAAAGAUGGUGAACCGGUUGAUCAAAAAGUUUAUCGCUCUAUGAUUGGUUCAUUGUUAUACCUAUGUGCUUCACGUCCCGAUAUUAUGCUAAGCGUGUGCAUGUGUGCAAGAUAUCAAGCUGCUCCUAAAGAAUGUCAUCUUAAGGCUGUGAAAAGGAUAGUGAGAUACUUAAUACACACACCAAAUUUUGGCAUUUGGUAUCCUAAGAGGGAAUCUUUCGAUCUUGUUGGCUACUCUGACUCAGAUUAUGACGGAGACAAGGUUGACAGAAAGUCCACUUCGGGAACUUGUCAAUUUCUUGGUAGAUCUCUUGUGUCUUGGUCCUCCAAGAAACAAAACUCGGUAUCCUUAUCUACCGCCGAAGCGGAGUACAUUGCCGCUGGUUCAUGUUGUGCUCAAUUACUUUGGAUGACCCAAACUCUUAAAGAUUAUGGGAUAUAUGUGAAACAUGUUCCAUUGCUUUGUGACAAUGAAAGUGCUAUCAAAAUUGGUCAUAAUCCUGUGCAACAUUCUCGAACUAAGCAUAUUGAAGUUCGCCAUCAUUUCAUUCGAGAUCAUAUUGCUAAGGGUGACAUUGAUCUUAAGCAUGUUCGCACCGAAAAGCAAUUAGCGGAUAUAUUUACUAAACCUCUUGAUGAGAAAGUGUUUUGCAGAUUAAGAGGAGAAUUGAACAUCAUAGAUGCUUCAAACUUGGAGUAG
Molecule: ribosomal RNA, 873 nt
Filed under: Triticum aestivum (bread wheat)
Lineage: Eukaryota; Viridiplantae; Streptophyta; Magnoliopsida; Poales; Poaceae
Description: partial small subunit ribosomal RNA
Source: RNAcentral